Molecule: non-coding RNA, 705 nt
Organism: Phascolarctos cinereus (koala)
Lineage: Eukaryota; Metazoa; Chordata; Mammalia; Diprotodontia; Phascolarctidae
Source: RefSeq, a predicted model, not a curated record
GUCAAGUAUGGGGGAAGAUAAGGCAGCCAGAUGGACCAGCCCCGGAAUCCUGCCUCACACGUACCAAACGUGGGACUCUAGGAGGCCUGGGAGCAGCUGCGACCUGAGCCCCUGACAGUGGGUCAGAGGGACUGACCUAGCCUUCAUGAAGGUCAUCUGGAGAUCUCUAGGGCUCCUAAGAGUGGUUUGCCUAAGUUUACACACCUCGUAAGAAGAAGAAAGGGAGGGCUCGAACCUAGACCUUCUGACUCCGAAUCGAGCUCACUAGACCACAGCUGGAAUUGAUUUCAGAUGAGGAAACUAAGGUCCAGAGAAGAGAAGUGACUUGUCCAAGGUCAUACAGGUUCAAAGUCACAGACCCUAUAAUUCCAAGGUCACCGCUUUUUCUGUGGUACCCGCUUCCUCCAAAAUCAUUGAUUUCCAAAAGCCAUGUGUUGAAUCGAGUUCUCAGGUUUCAUCUUAGUGGAACCUACCCCUGCCAACCUAGAUUGCAACUCCUCUGUCCCUUGGAAGAAUAGGUUUUGGUAAUCUGCUGUGACUCAAAACAAUCUCAUUUCACGGCCAGCUCAGAGGAGUGUCUCUAGACUAUGUGGCUGGUCUUGGAUGACAGAUGGACUGUCUGCCACAGCUGGACCCAUCAGAACUUGUGUUCUGCUGGUCUCACCUUCAGGAAGCCACAGUGACCUCUGGUGACCUCAGUGGCCC